CCUACGGGAGGCAGCAGUAGGGAAUAUUGCUCAAUGGGCGAAACCCUGAAGCAGCAACGCCGCGUGGAGGAUGAAGGCUUUCUGAUUUGAAACUCCUUUUUUUACAGAAGAUAAUUACGUUAUCUAACGAAUAAGCACCGGCCAACUCCGUGCCAGCAGCCGCGGUAAUACGGAGGGUGCAAGCGUUACUCGGAAUCACUGGGCGUAAAGGGCGCGUAGGCGGGAUAGCAAGUCAGAUGUGAAAUGCUAUGGCUUAACCAUAGAACUGCAUCGGAAACUGUUAUGCUAGAGUAUGGGGGAGGUAGGUGGAAUUCUUGGUGUAGGGGUAAAAUCCGUAGAGAUCAAGAGGAAUACUGAUUGCGAAGGCGACAUGCUAGAACAUUACUGACGCUGAUGCGCGAAGGCGUGGGGAGCAAACAGGAUUAGAUACCCGAGUAGUC
Molecule: ribosomal RNA, 440 nt
Filed under: uncultured bacterium
Lineage: Bacteria
Description: partial 16S ribosomal RNA
Rfam family: Bacterial small subunit ribosomal RNA
Source: RNAcentral